RNAcentral lists this long non-coding RNA (14458 nucleotides) under Triticum aestivum (bread wheat). Its description in RNAcentral is "long non-coding RNA (TAES_LNC010470)". The record is from RNAcentral. Lineage: Eukaryota; Viridiplantae; Streptophyta; Magnoliopsida; Poales; Poaceae.
GCAGAAAAAUAGUUGAAUGUAAAGCACCGUAGCAGGGCUAACAGAAGAAAAAAAAGAUAUGGUUUUGGGUGUUCUCUGAAAAGUAACAGCUUGCAAGGUGAUGCCAGCAUCAAGGAACCUGUAAGUGCAUCUAGUGCCACCCCUAGUUGGUUUUGGAGUAUUGACGACAAACCUAGUUGAGGGACUAAUGUGUUUGUGAGAAUUGCAGGAUAACACAGGUAGAAGUCCCUCAUUGAUUCGGUUUUACUACCAGAGAUGACCCCUAAAAAUGUAUGAAGACAAUUGAAGCCAAAGGUGGUAUAUGAAGAUAUUCACAUUGAAGACUAUGACAAAACAAGACACGUUAUGAAGCCUAUGGAGCUCGAAGACUUAGAUCUUUCGUAGUUCUUUUUCUUUUGUGUUGAGUCAUAGGAACCACCGCACUGUUAAGUGGGGUCCAGGAGAACCAGUCAGAAUGACUGAAGUGAUGCCUAAACCAAAAACCUAUGUCUUCGAGUGAAGACAAUGAGAGCGAAUCUUGUCCAGAGCCGGACAAGUCAGCUUUGCUUGUAGCCCAAGUAAAGUUGCCAUGAGAGUUUGAAAUCUGAUCGUUGAGACACGUGUCAGUUCCUUAGUGACCCAGGGUCAUUUCGGACAAAUCAGGUCGGGUUGCCAAGUGGCUAUAAAUAGCCCACCCCCUACAACCAUAAACGGGGCUGCUCAGAUUUCAGUGCACGGCUUUUGUCGUUUGAGAGCAACCCACCUCGAAGCCUUUGAAAGAAAAUUCCUAGCGAGGAGAAAAGCCCUAACCACCCAGAGCCAGAGAACAUUGGGCAUCACUUAAGUCUUCUUGUCUGUGUGAUCUGAAGACUUAUUACACUUGAGGACUGUGAAUCCUCCAGACGGUUAGGCGUCGCGUUCAGAGCAUCCAAGAGACAUUGUGGAUUGCCAGUGAACGAAGUCUGUGAAGGUUUGGGAGUCUACCUUGAAGACUUACCAGAGUGAUUGGGCGAGGACUAUGUGACCUUAGCUCAAGGAGAAUACGGUGAGGACUUGGUGUCCUGAGCUGCAUGUUCAGGACUGGGUGUCCGGGACUGUGUGUCCUAAGGUUUAAAUACCUAGCCGCUCCAACCAGACGUACAGUUGUCACCGCAACUGGAACUGGUCCAACACAUCAUUGUCUUCAACGAGUCACCGGUUUCAUCUUCACUUCCUUUUUCUUACUGUUACUCAUUGUGAAGCCAUUGCAUGCCUGCUCUAUCUUUUGUCUUCACAACGUGAAUGUAUGAUCUGCUUGGCUUCAUAACUUCAUAACUUCUUCCUACCUGAUCCUUAUUACACUGCAGUUGUUUGUCUUUGUGCUUUCACUCUAUUGAAUACUUGACCAUGGCUUGCCUAGUGUAAUCUAACUUCUGUUGCAUAGUAAUAGGCAAAAUCUUCGCUGUUUGUCUUCAUAACUCCCACGUUUUGAAGGCUUUCAUAAAAAUCGCCUAUUCACCCCCCCUCUAGUCGAUAUAACGCACUUUCAAUUGGUAUCAGAGCAAGGUGCUCCCUUGUUCUAUGUGAUUCGGUUUAACCACCUGGAGUUUUAGCUAUGUCGACUGCAGGGAUAAUCAAAGUCUCCGCUGCGUGCCCCGUCUUCGAUGGAACUGAAUAUCCCUACUGGAAGAAUAAGAUGCGCAUGCAUCUUGAAGCCAUUGACGUCGACCUAUGGUAUGUCGUCGAGAACGGCGUUCCCAAGGCUGGAGAAGGUGUCACUGCUGCUAAUGUCAAGAAGUUCACUCAACUGGACUCUACUGCCAAAAAUAUCAUCUGUGGUCAUCUGACAAAAGGACAGUAUGGCCAUGUGAGUGCCUUGAAGACAUCCAAGCUGGUAUGGGACUGGCUCUCCAAGGUCAAUGAAGGCGUCUCAACCCAGAGAGAUCAAAGAAUCAGUGUUCUUCGCAACCUCUUCAACCGCUCCAAGCGAAAUGAUAAUGAGAAUGUCCAGCACACAUUUGACCGGCUCACUGACAUCACAAAUGAGCUUCAAGCCCUCGGCGCCACUGAGAUCACCAAACAUGAAGUUGUCAAGACGCUGCUAAGAUCACUUGAUAGUUCGUUUGACAUCCUAGCCCUGAUGAUUCAAGAACGUCCUGAUUUCAAGACACUCGAUCCGUAUGACAUACUUGAGAGGCUCAACACACAUGAGUUUUAGCUUUCUGAGAAAAGAGAUAUCUAUGGUCCAAACUAUGGGCGAACUCGUGCCUUGAAGGCAAAAGCUGUUUCCUCAUCUGAAGAAGAAUCUGACAGCAGUUCUGAUGAUCCUGAAGACAUUGGAAGGGAACUUGCAAUGCUAGUGAAGAAGUUCCAAAAAUUCACUAAGAAGAAAGGCUUCAGAAAAUCUUCACGAUCAAGCUCAAGGAAUGAUGAAGCUUCUGCUCAUGACUACAAGAAGAAAACAUGUCACAAGUGCAAGAAAACUGGACACUUCAUCUCUGAGUGUCCACAGUGGGACAAUGAGAACAGAAGGAAGAAGAAGAGCAAGGAAUAUGAUUCUGACGACAAGAAGAAGAAGAAAUACUCAAAGUCUUCUUCCAAGUCUUCCUCAAAGUCUUCAUCACACAAGAAGAGCUCAUCUGGCAAGGCACGUGCGUUUGUUGGAAAGGAAAUGGAUUCAGAGGAGGAGUCCGCUUCUGAGGAGGCAGAGGUGGAGUCUGAGGAGGAGUCUGAUUCUGGCAUUGCAAGUCUGACUACAGCAUACGUCGCCAAGUCCAUCUUCAACACUGAAGAUAAUGACUUCAUCACCGACACCGAUGCAAAUGACAAGAACGACUCCACUCCUACCUACUACUUCAUGGCACGCGGUGCCAAGGUAAACACACGCACUACUCGCUAUCAAACAUCUAGUGACGAUGACUCUGACUGUGAUUCAAAACCCAGCUACAAAACACUUGCUAAAAUUGCAACUGAACAAUAGAGAGCUAUGGAACAUAUUCAAAAACUGUUAGACAGAAGCGAUGAUCUGUUGGGUGCUGAAAUGACUCAAUCUGAAUCCUUAAUUGAAGACAUAAAAAAUCUUCACAUUAAGUAUCAGGAACUUGAAGAUCGUCUUGAUACUCUCUCAACAACUCAUGAAAAGCUUUCCUAUGAUUAUCUUCAAAGGAAGCAAGAACUUGAGAAAUUGAGAGCGGCUCAUGAAGAUCUUCAAAAGGAAAACGAGUCACUUCGCGCCGAACAGAUCAGUUCCGCUCAGGAAGGAUUUGAACCACCAUGUCUUAAAUGCAUUGAGCGUGAUAAUGCUACUUCUGUUGCUGAAUGUUCCACUGCUACUGCUGUUGCAAUAUCUUCAACUGUUGAUGUGGUAACUAACCCCUCUGCUGAGGAUACCACUGCUAUUGCUGAUGAGAAUGCUAGGUUGAAGACAUUGCUUGAAACAGGGAUGUACAAAAGUCUUAAAGGACAUCAGACAUUAUGUGAUGUCCUCAAGAAGCAGAUUCUGAACCGAAACCCUAGGAAAGAGGGUGUUGGGUUCACAAGGAAAAUAAAUGCAGAUGGCUCUUACUGGAAACCUGAGCAGUACCCCAAAACCACAUGGGUUGCUGCAAAGGAAUUUUCAGCAGAUCCAACCAAUUUAUCUGGCUUCACUUGUGCUAACCCCAUUAUCAUUGAUGAAUCCUUUGAUGCAAACUAUAAACUGUUUAAGAAUCAGAAUGGUGAAGUGUUUGCCAGGUACAUUGGUACUAACUGCAGGAAUGGACCGCCUAUGAAGAAGAUCUGGGUUCCGAAAAAGUGUCUGGAAAAUCUUGCUGUGAAUGUCUUCAUGACACCUCACUUGAAGAAGACAAACCUCAGGCCAAAAGCUUCAUACGAUCCAAAGGCUUCAUACAAACAGAGGACUCACCUGAGUCACACUAAUGCAAAUGUUUUGCAGGGAAACCAUACUCAGGCAUAUGAAUAUGAGAGCGGUUCAUCGAACCGUCAUGUUCAUAUGACCAAAAAUUAUUCUGCUUAUUCCUAUGAGUAUUAUUGUCCACCUGCAAAAUUGUUUGCUAAGGCUUCAAAGCCAAAAUUCUCAGAUGCCGCACUUAGACUUAUUGCUUCUAAGCCACCCUUGAAGAUGUGGGUGGUUAAGAAAGCUUAACUCUCUUUUGCAGGGAAAGGUCUCCAGCAGAAAAACAAAAUCUUCUGACGCUAUUGCUGGGGACCUUAAAAAUCUUGUAGGGCACAAGAUAAAAUGCCCGAAUGGCAUCAUUAUGUACUUCGUUCCUGAAUCGCAUGCUACUCUCCCUAUUAGUCCUAAUAUGGAUCUAAGUUUUCAUAACCCACUGGUUCGUCAAAUGUUUUUGCUUCACAAUUCUCUUCGUGAAGCCUAUCCCCCUAACUGCACUGUAGGGUACGACACCAGCGUCUUCAAAGUCUUCAGAAUGAAUUAUUGACAGUGGAUGUACAAAUCACAUGACUAGCAAAAGAAGCCUUCUUAUGGACUCAACCUUACGUCCAUCCGACAAGAGCCACAUCACAUUUGCUGACACUGGUAAAAGUAAGGUAUUGGGUCUAGGUAGAGUUGCAAUCUCAAAGGAUCAACACAUGGAUAAAGUCAUGCUUGUUGAAUCCCUUGGCUUCAACUUAAUGUCUGUCUCAAUGCUUUGCGAUUUGAACAUGAUCGUAAUGUUUGGAAAAUAUCGUUGGCUAGUACUAAUGGAAUCUGACAAGUCUCUAGUGUUUGAAGGGUAUUGGAAAGAUGAUUUGUAUGUGGUAGAUUUCUCGGCAGGGCCACAACUUGCAGUAUGUCUUCUUGCAAAAGCUUCAGAAUGCUGGCUUUGGCAUCGGAGGCUUGGGCAUGCUGGCAUGAGGAACCUCCGCACCCUUGCGAAGAAGAAGCAUGUCAUAGGCAUCGAGGGCAUCAAGUUCAACAAAGAUCACUUAUGCGGUGCCUGUGAAGCAGGGAAGAUGACAAGGGCAAAACAUCCUUCGAAGACAAUCAUGACUACUACUCAACCCUUUGAACUGCUCCACAUGGAUCUUUUCGGUCCCACUCACUACUCAACUUUUACUACUACUGCUUGCCUCUAUGGCUUCGUCAUUUUUGAUGAUUACUCUAGAUAUACUUGGGUGCACAUAAUCCUUUACAAGACUGAAGUGCAGGAUGUCUUCAGACGCUUCGCCAAUCGAGCUAUGAACAAUUUUGGCGCCAAGAUAAAGCACAUCAGAAGUGACAAUGGCACUGAAUUCAAGAACACUGGCCUUGAUACAUAUCUUGAUACCUUGGGCAUCACACAUGAAUUCUCAGCUCCGUACACGCCACAGCAGAAUGGCGUCGUCGAACACAAGAGCAGAACACUCAUUGAGAUGGCCAGAACGAUGCUAGAUGAAUACAAGACUCCAAGAAAAUUCUGGACUGAAGCCAUUUAUACUGCAUGUCAUACAAUCAAUCGUGUUUAUCUUCACAAGCUUCUGAACAAGACAUCUUAUGAACUCCUAACUGGCAAGAAGCCAAAUGUCAGUUACUUCAGAGUAUUUGGCUCAAGGUGCUGGAUCAAGGACCCACACCACACCUCAAAGUUUGCACCAAAAGCACAUGAGGGCUUUAUGCUUGGAUAUGGAAAGGAUUCGCACUCCUACAGAGUCUUCAACCUCUUUCAUUACAAAGUUGUUGAAACAGUGGAUGUGCGGUUCGAUGAGACAAAUGGUUCACAAAGAGAGCAACUGCCAAAUGUGCUAGAUGAAGUUCCAGCCAGUGAAUCAAUCAAGCUUAUGGGAACUGGAGAGAUUAUACCUUCUGAAGCUCAUCCUGAAGAAGAACUUAUCAUCUCAGCACCUGAUCAACAUGAAGACAAUGCUCAGCCUAAAGACAUUCCUCCCAACAACAACACAGAUCAGCAAGAGCAAAGUCUUCACCCUGUACAUCCUCGUGUUGCCAAUGAAGUGCAGAUUGACAGAAUAAUUGAGAGCAUCAAUGCACCUGGUCCACUCACUCGUUCAAGGGAAACUCAGCUAGCAAAUUUUUGUGGGCACUUCGCAUUCGUCUCAAUAUCAACAAGCUCAACAAGGCACUAUAUGGCCUCAAACAAGCCCCUAGGGCCUGGUAUGACACACUCAAAUAUUUCCUGAAGAGCAAAGGCUUCAUACCUGGUUCCCUAGAUCCCACUCUUUUCACGAAGACAUAUGAUGGUGAACUGUUUGUGUGCCAAAUAUAUGUGGAUGACAUUAUCUUCAGCUGCACCAAUCAGAAGUACAGUGAAGAGUUUGGAUAUAUGAUGCAAGAGCAAUAUCAGAUGUCCAUGAUGGGGGAGCUGAAGUUAUUCCUUGGUCUUCAAAUACGACAACAACGCAAUGGCAUCUUCAUAUCUCAAGAGAAGUAUCUCAAAGAUUGCCUGAAGAAGUUCGGUAUGCAAGACUGCAAAGGCUUCACAACACCAAUGCCAGCCAAACAUCAUCUAGGUCCUGACGGCAAUGGUAAAGAGUUCGAUCAAAAGGUAUACCGCUCCAUGAUUGGUUCUUUGCUUUAUUUAUGUGCAUCUAGGCCAGAUAUUAUGCUUAGUGUUUGCAUGUGUGCUCAAUUUCAAGCGGCACCAAAGGAGUCGCAUCACUUAGCUGUGAAGCGAAUUCUUCGAUAUUUGGCUCACACCCCAACUCUAGGAUUAUGGUAUCCAAAAAGCUCAGAGUUUGAUUUGGUUGGAUUUUCGGAUGCUGAUUAUGCCGGUGACAAAGUUGAUCGCAAGUCUACAUCAGGCACAUGUCACUUUCUGGGACGAUCACUUGUAUGUUGGUCUUCAAAGAAGCAGAACUGUGUAUCUCUCUCCACUGCUGAAUCUGAAUACAUUGCUGCUGGAUCUUGCUGCGCUCAGCUUCUGUGGAUGAAGCAAACACUCAAGGACUAUGGCAUUCAUCUGAAGCAAGUACCACUUUACUGCGACAACGAAAGCGCCAUCAAGAUUGCCAACAACCCAGUUCAGCACUCGAAGACAAAGCACAUUGGAAUUCGUCAUCACUUUCUCAGAGAUCAUGUUGUGAAGGAAGACAUUGAUAUCAUACACGUCAACACUGAAGAACAAUUGGCAGAUAUCUUCACCAAGCCCUUGGAUGAGAAGAGAUUUUGCAAGUUACGGUGUGAGCUAAAUAUCCUGGAAUCCUCAAAUGUCCUGUGAUCAGGCACACAUCCUAACACUUAUGCAUAUGACGACUUAGAUGUGCAACGCACAAAGUAAAGUAUAUCUUCAAUCAAUGAAGACAUACAUUCUAAGUGUGAAUACAUUAAUGUGGAAUUUGACUUCGGAGCGCCACGAUAAUUGUGUGCCGUGUCUGGGUCUAAUACUUCCUAUACGGUGGGUAACGCCACCACCAAACGUUCUAUUUUGAAGUGUUUCACUCAUGGCGUUACCUUGCAAUAUCUUCACAUUUGGUUUGGCUUCGAACUUAACAUGUCUUCAUGAUUAUCUUCACUACGUUGAUUAUAUAGAUAUAUACAUACUAGUGUUAUGUCCUCUACAGCAUUCACUUAUAGCUAUGUCUUCUUGGUUGAAUCUUUUGAACUAAGUGAAUGUGAUCGGACCCUAAUCUCUCUAUGCUUUCUAUCUCAAAUUCUAUCUCUCCAAGUCAUAUGCAUUCUAUUGAAACUGUCGAAUGUCUUCACUGCGUCCUUGUCAGCAGAAGAUAUAGAGACAACCAUAAAGUCCGUUUUCAAUGCUCAUUCCUCCACAUAAAAUCCGAAGAAGCAGGAACGACCGCCCGACAAUCAAGGCGUGCAUGGGUCGUGGAACAAACCCCAAACUUCCGCAAACAGGCCACGCGUUCCUCAGAUGCGAAUCACCAGGGGCACCUGUGUAAUAGCACAGUGCUGCCCCUGUGCCUAUAAAUUCACACUUACCGCGGUCAUUAUCUCCUUCUUCCACCCUCGCACGAACCCUAGCGCCACCGCUAGCUCUCGACGACGCCGACGACGAAGCGCUUCGCUGCCGCAACCUCUCCGACGCCGUCCUCACGCCGACCGCGGACAUCGUUCUCUCCGCCGUCGCCGUAGGUGUCUUCCGUCGCCAAGUUAGGGCACGGAGGACUGAACUGCUCGGCAUCAUCUCCCACUUCCUUCUAGCAGUUCCAAGUGUGGUAAAUAAAACUUCUUUUUACAGCCUCUUUUGAUCUCAUGGUUCUGUCACUUUCUACCAUAAAAAGUUUAUCUUCACACAAGUUAGAUCUCUCAAUCUGCAUCUCAUAACAUGCCUAGUAUAUUCACUUGUGCUUCAUGAAGUAGUUAGAUUCCUCACUUGUACUGAUCUGUGGGUUCGUACAAAUCUGGAACCAACUUUUUAUCUAUGAGUGAAUGUCUUCGCACGAUGAGGUCAAUGUCUUCUAAACUGAUUAAUCUUCAAAACCUUCUGAGAAUGCAUAUGACCUCUUCCCCUUCCCUCGCACCUUAAUGUUGUCACAGGUACAUGUCCGUGGGAGAAUCCUUCGGUUCUCAUAGUCUGCAUUCAUUUGCAGAAUUCCUACAGCAUCACAUAAACUCUCCUGAAGCCAGUUCCUAUUGGUCCAGCAAAAGAAAGCCUUUGAAGCCUUUCAAUUUAAAGUUUAUGGCUUCAGAAGCAGCGGCAAGGAAGGGGGGCAGACAGAGACGUGAAGGAACUUCCAAAGAUCUGCCUGAAGACCUGGCAGAAAUAUAUAAAACAAAUCCUGAAGAGAAUUAUGGGCAGCGCAAGACUCGAAUCCAAUGGAUUCGACGCUAUUGGGCUGAACAAUGGUUCAAAUACCGCUUCGUCACCCAAGAGUAUGCUGAGAAAAGUGCCAUCAAGAAACCGUGGGGGGACAUCAUUUACAAGAAUCUCAUACCCAGGACCAGAGAUGAAGCCAUUGCUCAAGGCUUCUACCCAUGCAUGGUCCGAGGACCACAGCCUGAUGAUGCACAUCCGUCGUCACUACUCUGGUGUCGUGACGACAAUCUAUUCAAGCGCAACUUCUAGUUUGCCCAACAAUCAGCGAAGCAGCAGAAGAAGAAAUUUGGGUUAGACUUCAACCCUGGUCCCUCCGCACCAAGGGCAGAUGGCACACGCGACGCCGAACCCAAUAUCAUUGGUCCGUUUGCCAACCUUGAAGGCCUCAUCACCCACAUCCUAGUCCAAGGGACUGCCGUGAAUGACCCUCCAGCUGACUCUGUGUCUGAUGAAGCUCCUGCUGUACCGAAGCCAAAGCAAUCAAAGAAGCCAAAAGCUUCAAAGCCAGCCCCUUCCUCAAAAAUCUCAAGGGCGAAGCCAUUGGCAACUGCACCUCCUGAAGACAGUGUGCAGUCUGAAGAUGUAUCCCGCGUCUCCAAGCCCCAGAAGGCCAAAGUGCCUCAGCCACACACUGGCAAAGAGCUCACAGUUGCUACCAUCCUGCGCAGCGAAGCCAUAGAUCUGUCAAGUGAUGAAGAUCUUGGAGAUGACGCUCUAGAGCAGCUCAUCAAAAGCAAAGAAGAAGCUGAAAUCUUCAAGAAUUUGCCUCUCUUUGAUGUCGCCAUCAUCCACAAUUUCAUCGACGAAUGGUUUGCCUCACCAGACAUCAGCUUCGAAGAUCUGCAGCUGCCCGUUGGCCUCAGCGUCGCAUUCCAAGGCGCUAUUGCUUCAGAACUUGCUAUUGCCCAGCGCAUAGUUGAACUGAAAAUUGAUCAUGAAAAGGCUCAGUUCAAGAAGCAUAUGGCCAAGCUCAGCGUGCAAGAAGUGAAGAGCUUCAAGACCAUGUUGCAUGAACUUAAGGAAAACUUUCUGAAGAAGCAUGCAGAAGCUCAAGGUUCACGUGAGCGGAUGAAGUCUCUGGCAGAAAGAUGUGUGCAGGCCUACAAUGAGGCUGAGAAGCACAAGGCACUUGGGCGUCCUGGCAUCGACCCCAAGAUGGCCACAAAGAAAAAGAAGAAGACUGUUCUAGCUGAACCAGAGGCACCAAGGCAAGAAGCAGUUCCAAUUGUCUUCCCAACUGCAACGACUGGCUCGAAGCCAAAGAGCCGGUCAACAGCUUCAGAGCUCAAGAAGACAAGAACUGCUGAGGCUGAAGCCAGGAAGAGGAAGAGCUCUGAAGCCUCUCCUACUGCCCCCAGCAAGAAGAAGAGAAAGAUCAAAAAAUCUUGGGCUGCUCCCACAGAGCCCUUGAUAGUUGAACCUAUUGCUAUGGUGCACCCGAACGUAGAACGUCAACUGACGGUUCAUGAGCCUGCUUCCACAGAGGCUCCUGAAGCUGAAAACAUACCAGCAGCCGACCCCAUUGCUGCUGAAGACAUUGGUCAUCAGGACAAUGUACAAGAUGAUGCAGCCCUUCCUUAGUAUGAACAAAGCAAGCUCAUCAGCAUUGGUCAUCCUCUGACGCCAAUUGCACAAGAUGCGUCAUGGGCGGAUUACCCUCAAGAGGAAGAAGACUUUGAGGCCUAGCCCACUCCAACCCCACAAGCGCCGUCUGCGUUCCGCAGGCUUCGCAAAGGUCCAAGGCCUCAAGUCUAUGCUGAAGACAUUCCGGCUGCAUCAGCCAAAGAAAAUGAAGAAGUACCACAAGAUCCCACUCCCCCACUACACCAAAAAGCAGUUCUCCAGGAGAACGUGCUUGUGACUGACCCUCCAGCUAGUCAAGCGGAGGCUGAAAAUGUUGAGGCUGCCACAACCAACACUGAAGCCAAUGUGGAGCCCUCCCCACCAAAAGCUUCAGCAGACAGCGAAGCUACUGAACCAGACACUUCUGUUCCUGAGUCUGCUGUAGGUCCUCAAUUUGAUUACCAUGUUGAGCACAGGCCUCAUGUACAGAAGCCAGUCCCAAGGCUGCCAAGGUUCCCAGGUCCUGCAUCAGCACCUGGCUCCUUUGACAUCAAUAGCUUCAAGGCAGACAGUACAUUUUUCAACAGCUCCAAGAACCCCUAUUCAAGGGAACGGAUUUCAUCAGAUAGGUUCUGGAGCUAUCCUCAGCGCAGCUACUAUUCAUGCAUCCUAUACAACCAAGGUCGCAUCUUCCCGCACAAGCACCUUGAUGUUGAAGCCAUUGCUGGUCUGCCCUGCUUAGAGGAAGCGCUGGAUUGCUUCAAGCAAGUGGGUCUGCUGCAGUUUAUAACUGAUGAAGAGCACUAGAAUGAAGAGCUUCUGUUGCAAUUCUAUGCCACCCUACACAUCAAGGGAUACAACAGAGAUCCGAAGACUUGGGACCUGGAGUGGAUGACCGGCAACGUCCAUCACGAAGCCAAUGCAUUCGAUAUCAUUGAGCUCACCGGCCUGCCCACUCCUGGCGAACUCUUCGAGGAAGGUUGUCCACUUCACACUGAAGCUCUUGAGAGCAUAUUCCAGCGGCCUGAACCAAAUAUGAGUCAGAUGCUCUCCAUGAUGAAGCCACUGCCUCUCGAUGCUCCUUAUCCAACAGAGUUCUUCGUUGAAGACUUUGAGUACCUGCCCAGAACAAUCUAUCACAUUCUCCGGCGGACUCUCUGGCCUAUUAAAGGGCACUCUCCAAAUGCCAAGAUUGAGGGUGCAAUGAAGACUCUGAUAUUCUGUAUCCUUCAUGGCAAAUGCUUCAACGCAUAGGAUUUCUUCAUACGCCAACUCGCUGCAUCAGGCUCAGAUCUGUUUGAUUUAAAGUUCUAUGCUCCUUGGGUAAUGAGACUGAUCAAGCUUCACUCUGCGAUCUCAUAUCAGCCCUCAGCCCGCAACCAUUGGAUCUUCUUGCCAGAUGUGGAUACCUCUAUUGAAGCUAUAUAUCCUGAGCCUGCCAAGCAACCGUUGAGUCUUCAGAAUGCAGAACACCAGAGCUUCAUUCAAAACAAUGAAGGUGUUGAAGCCAUCUCCAGGGUGUAUCCUUUGGCUGGCACUACACGUGCGCCACACCCUGCUUCAACUGAAGCCACUGAUAGUGCAACUGCUUCAAGACCCAAGAAGCGCGCUCGUGUUCUCAAUGACCGAGAGCUUCUUGUGGCCCUUCAUCAAAAACAAGAUAGGCAUCACGACUGGCUAAAGCGUCAGAUGAAAAGCCUCUUGGUGGAUGUUAAUCGUCUUUGAAAUCUUGCCACCAAGAAUGCCUUCGUCACUCAUGAAACCUGUCAUCGUACAUGGAAAGGGCUCUCAAUGAUGUGUACUGAAGCUGAACUUGAAGAGGAUGGCUUCACUGAGCGAUUCAAGUUUGACACCACACCUCCUAGAAGGGCUGUGAUGCGCAACACACCAUCACUUGAAGACUCUGAGUUUUCUUCAUCUGCUGCCACAGUCACUGCCAGAAUCAUUGAUAAAGAAGACGAUGCUACAUCACCACCACCUGCUUCAGCACCUCCAAGCUCUUCUGCACCGCCAAACACCUCCAACAACCCUGCUGCUCCUGGGAACGAGUAGACACUCUAUGUCUUCAAACCUUUUUGGUCCUUGCUGACAAAAGGGGGAGAAGCAUAUGGGUUGAUAGUCUUCAAGCGGGUCCUUAUGGGCGGGUGCUUUAUGUUUUGCUAUAUUUUUCUUCGUGCUUACAACUCUCGUUUUUGCUUCAUUUGAUUCUUUGAGUUGUAACACUAAGACUCGAUGGUCGUCUGCUACUUGUUUGCCACCCUGUUUUGCGAAGAUAAAUUCCGCAUGUGCGACGAUAAAUUCCGCACUUAUCUCAUUCCGCAGACAUCCAUUUUCCAUUAUGCAUGUCAUUAUCUUCAUAUACUUUCACAUGCAUAGUGGAUUGUCAUCAUAAGCUGAAGUGGGUAUCCACAAGUACAACCUGCCAUGUGCAUUUGCAUUCCAAAAGCAAAUUAACUUAUAUGCACAUUUUCAGGGGGAGCCCUUGCAACUUAUGAAGACAAUUCCUUAUCCUUUACAAUUUCACAGACUAUAUUCCCCGUUGAAAACUUCAACUAGUUUGUCAUCAAUCACCAAAAAGGGGGAGAUUGUAAGUGCAUCUAGUGCCACCCCUAGUUGGUUUUGGAGUAUUGACGACAAACCUAGUUGAGGGACUAAUGUGUUUGUGAGAAUUGCAGGAUAACACAGGUAGAAGUCCCUCAUUGAUUCGGUUUUACUACCAGAGAUGACCCCUAAAAAUGUAUGAAGACAAUUGAAGCCAAAGGUGGUAUAUGAAGAUAUUCACAUUGAAGACUAUGAAAAAAGAAGACACGUUAUGAAGCCUAUGGAGCUCGAAGACUUAGAUCUUUCGUAGUUCUUUUUCUUUUGUGUUGAGUCAUAGGAACCACCGUACUGUUAAGUGGGGUCCAGGAGAACCAGUCAGAAUGACUGAAGUGAUGCCUAAACCAAAAACCUAUGUCUUCGAGUGAAGACAAUGAGAGCGAAUCUUGUCCAGAGCCGGACAAGUCAGCUUUGCUUGUAGCCCAAGUAAAGUUGCCAUGAGAGUUUGAAAUCUGAUCAUUGAGACACAUGUCAGUUCCUUAGUGACCAGGGUCAUUUCAGACAAAUCAGGUCGGGUUGCCAAGUGGCUAUAAAUAGCCCACCCCCUACAACCAUAAACGGGGCUGCUCAGAUUUCUGUGCACGACUUUUGUCGUUUGAGAGCAACCCACCUCGAAGCCUUUGAAAGAAAAUUCCUAGCGAGGAGAAAAGCCCUAACCACCCAGAGCCAGAGAACAUUGGGCAUCACUUAAGUCUUCUUGUCUGUGUGAUCUGAAGACUUAUUACACUUGAGGACUGUGAAUCCUCCAGACGGUUAGGCGUCGCGUUUAGAGCAUCCAAGAGACAUUGUGGAUUGCCAGUGAACGAAGUCUGUGAAGGUUUGGGAGUCUACCUUGAAGACUUACCAGAGUGAUUGGGCGAGGACUAUGUGACCUUAGCUCAAGGAGAAUACGGUGAGGACUUGGUGUCCUGAGCUGCAUGUUCAGGACUGGGUGUCCGGGACUGUGUGUCCUAAGGUUUAAAUACCUAGCCGCUCCAACCAGACGUACAGUUGUCAUAGCAACUGGAACUGGUCCAACACAUCAUUGUCUUCAAUGAGUCACCGGUUUCAUCUUCACUUCCUUUUUCUUACUGUUACUCAUUGUAAAGCCAUUGCAUGCCUGCUCUAUCUUUUGUCUUCACAACGUGAAUGUAUGAUCUGCUUGGCUUCAUAACUUCAUAACUUCUUCCUACCUGAUCCUUAUUACACUGCAACCGUUUGUCUUUGUGUUUUCACUCUAUUGAAUACUUGACCAUGGCUUUCCUAGUGUAAUCUAACUUCCGCUGCAUAGUAAUAGGCAAAAUCUUCGCUGUUUGUCUUCAUAACUCCCACGUUUUGAAGACUUUCAUAAAAAUCGCCUAUUCACCCCCCUCUAGUCGAUAUAACGCACUUUCAGGACCUCUCGAAAGCACAAACAUCAAAAUCCUGCAAAAUGUAAGAUCAACUCAUAAGCUUACCCAACAAGAGAUGAAUAUGUGACAAGCAAAAGUUGAAUAUGGAUAAAAGAAGAUUGGCUCUCAAAGUUGAACAUAACAUUGCUAUCAACAACGACCUCAUAAAAUGGCUUGCACCACCUAAUUAAUGUCCUAGCUAUAAACCAUAUCAAGAAUUUAAGUGUACUAAAACAUGCAAUGCACCGGAACAAAAAACAC